Molecule: ribosomal RNA, 1582 nt
Filed under: Mus musculus (house mouse)
Lineage: Eukaryota; Metazoa; Chordata; Mammalia; Rodentia; Muridae
Also listed under: 1 other name
Description: 16S ribosomal RNA
Rfam family: Bacterial large subunit ribosomal RNA
Source: RNAcentral
ACUAAUCCUAGCCCUAGCCCUACACAAAUAUAAUUAUACUAUUAUAUAAAUCAAAACAUUUAUCCUACUAAAAGUAUUGGAGAAAGAAAUUCGUACAUCUAGGAGCUAUAGAACUAGUACCGCAAGGGAAAGAUGAAAGACUAAUUAAAAGUAAGAACAAGCAAAGAUUAAACCUUGUACCUUUUGCAUAAUGAACUAACUAGAAAACUUCUAACUAAAAGAAUUACAGCUAGAAACCCCGAAACCAAACGAGCUACCUAAAAACAAUUUUAUGAAUCAACUCGUCUAUGUGGCAAAAUAGUGAGAAGAUUUUUAGGUAGAGGUGAAAAGCCUAACGAGCUUGGUGAUAGCUGGUUACCCAAAAAAUGAAUUUAAGUUCAAUUUUAAACUUGCUAAAAAAACAACAAAAUCAAAAAGUAAGUUUAGAUUAUAGCCAAAAGAGGGACAGCUCUUCUGGAACGGAAAAAACCUUUAAUAGUGAAUAAUUAACAAAACAGCUUUUAACCAUUGUAGGCCUAAAAGCAGCCACCAAUAAAGAAAGCGUUCAAGCUCAACAUAAAAUUUCAAUUAAUUCCAUAAUUUACACCAACUUCCUAAACUUAAAAUUGGGUUAAUCUAUAACUUUAUAGAUGCAACACUGUUAGUAUGAGUAACAAGAAUUCCAAUUCUCCAGGCAUACGCGUAUAACAACUCGGAUAACCAUUGUUAGUUAAUCAGACUAUAGGCAAUAAUCACACUAUAAAUAAUCCACCUAUAACUUCUCUGUUAACCCAACACCGGAAUGCCUAAAGGAAAGAUCCAAAAAGAUAAAAGGAACUCGGCAAACAAGAACCCCGCCUGUUUACCAAAAACAUCACCUCUAGCAUUACAAGUAUUAGAGGCACUGCCUGCCCAGUGACUAAAGUUUAACGGCCGCGGUAUCCUGACCGUGCAAAGGUAGCAUAAUCACUUGUUCCUUAAUUAGGGACUAGCAUGAACGGCUAAACGAGGGUCCAACUGUCUCUUAUCUUUAAUCAGUGAAAUUGACCUUUCAGUGAAGAGGCUGAAAUAUAAUAAUAAGACGAGAAGACCCUAUGGAGCUUAAAUUAUAUAACUUAUCUAUUUAAUUUAUUAAACCUAAUGGCCCAAAAACUAUAGUAUAAGUUUGAAAUUUCGGUUGGGGCGACCUCGGAGAAUAAAAAAUCCUCCGAAUGAUUAUAACCUAGACUUACAAGUCAAAGUAAAAUCAACAUAUCUUAUUGACCCAGAUAUAUUUUGAUCAACGGACCAAGUUACCCUAGGGAUAACAGCGCAAUCCUAUUUAAGAGUUCAUAUCGACAAUUAGGGUUUACGACCUCGAUGUUGGAUCAGGACAUCCCAAUGGUGUAGAAGCUAUUAAUGGUUCGUUUGUUCAACGAUUAAAGUCCUACGUGAUCUGAGUUCAGACCGGAGCAAUCCAGGUCGGUUUCUAUCUAUUUACGAUUUCUCCCAGUACGAAAGGACAAGAGAAAUAGAGCCACCUUACAAAUAAGCGCUCUCAACUUAAUUUAUGAAUAAAAUCUAAAUAAAAUAUAUACGUACACCCUCUAACCUAGAGAAGGUU